Molecule: ribosomal RNA, 292 nt
Filed under: uncultured bacterium
Lineage: Bacteria
Description: partial 16S ribosomal RNA
Source: RNAcentral
GGACUACUGGGGUAUCUAAUCCUGUUUGCUCCCCACGCUGUCGCGCCUCAGUGUCAGCAAUUGCCCAGCUCACCGCCUUCGCCACCGGUGUUCUUCCGGAUCUCUACGCAUUCCACCGCUACACCCGGAAUUCCAUGAGCCUCUACAAUGCUCGAGCACGAGAGUAUCGACGGCCGACUCGACGUUAAGCGUCGAGCUUUCACCGUUGACUUCUCGCGCCACCUACGCGCCCUUUACGCCCAGUGAUUCCGGACAACGCUCGCACCCUCCGUAUUACCGCGGCUGCUGGCAC